This 450-nucleotide ribosomal RNA is filed under the name uncultured Pseudomonas sp. Its description in RNAcentral is "bacterial SSU rRNA". It matches the Rfam family "Bacterial small subunit ribosomal RNA", at positions 930 to 1382 of the family's 1533-position model. Lineage: Bacteria; Pseudomonadati; Pseudomonadota; Gammaproteobacteria; Pseudomonadales; Pseudomonadaceae. The record is from RNAcentral.
CGGUGGAGCAUGUGGUUUAAUUCGAAGCAACGCGAAGAACCUACCAGGCCUUGACAUGCAGAGAACUUUCCAGAGAUGGAUUGGUGCCUUCGGGAACUCUGACACAGGUGCUGCACGGCUGUCGUCAGCUCGUGUCGUGAGAUGUUGGGUUAAGUCCGUAACGAGCGCAACCCUUGUCCUUAGUUACCAGCACGUUAUGGUGGGCACUCUAAGGAGACUGCCGGUGCAAACCGGAGGAAGGUGGGGAUGACGUCAAGUCAUCAUGGCCCUUACGGCCUGGGCUACACACGUGCUACAAUGGUCGGUACAAAGGGUUGCCAAGCCGCGAGGUGGAGCUAAUCCCAUAAAACCGAUCGUAGUCCGGAUCGCAGUCUGCAACUCGACUGCGUGAAGUCGGAAUCGCUAGUAAUCGUGAAUCAGAAUGUCACGGUGAAUACGUUCCCGGGCCUU